This 68-nucleotide transfer RNA is filed under the name Marmota monax (woodchuck). Its description in RNAcentral is "tRNA.Ala". The stretch from base 5 to 65 matches the Rfam family "tRNA", at positions 6 to 65 of the family's 71-position model. From Rfam's summary of the family: Transfer RNA (tRNA) molecules are approximately 80 nucleotides in length. Their secondary structure includes four short double-helical elements and three loops (D, anti-codon, and T loops). Further hydrogen bonds mediate the characteristic L-shaped molecular structure. tRNAs have two regions of fundamental functional importance: the anti-codon, which is responsible for specific mRNA codon recognition, and the 3' end, to which the tRNAs corresponding amino acid is attached (by aminoacyl-tRNA synthetases). tRNAs cope with the degeneracy of the genetic code in two manners: having more than one tRNA (with a specific anti-codon) for a particular amino acid; and 'wobble' base-pairing, i.e. permitting non-standard base-pairing at the 3rd anti-codon position. Lineage: Eukaryota; Metazoa; Chordata; Mammalia; Rodentia; Sciuridae. The record is from RNAcentral.
GGUUUGUGGCUCAGUGGUAGAGCGCUUGUCUGGCAGAUGUGAGGCACUGGGUUCGAUUCUCAGCACCA